Molecule: ribosomal RNA, 301 nt
Filed under: uncultured bacterium
Lineage: Bacteria
Description: partial 16S ribosomal RNA
Rfam family: Bacterial small subunit ribosomal RNA
Source: RNAcentral
CAGUCGCCGCGGGAAUACAGAGGGUGCGAGCGUUAAUCGGAUUUACUGGGCGUAAAGCGUGCGUAGGCGGCUUCUUAAGUCGGAUGUGAAAUCCCUGAGCUUAACUUAGGAAUUGCAUUCGAUACUGGGAAGCUAGAGUAUGGGAGAGGAUGGUAGAAUUCCAGGUGUAGCGGUGAAAUGCGUAGAGAUCUGGAGGAAUACCGAUGGCGAAGGCAGCCAUCUGGCCUAAUACUGACGCUGAGGUACGAAAGCAUGGGGAGCAAACAGGAUUAGAUACCCCGGUAGUCCCUGUCUCUUAACA